Molecule: small nuclear RNA, 106 nt
Organism: Dipodomys spectabilis (banner-tailed kangaroo rat)
Lineage: Eukaryota; Metazoa; Chordata; Mammalia; Rodentia; Heteromyidae
Source: RefSeq, a predicted model, not a curated record
GUGCUCAAUUUGGCUGCACAUACACUAAAAUUGGAACAUACAGAGAAGAUUAGCAUGGUCCCUGCACAAGGAUGAUGUACAAAUUAGUGAAUUGUUCCAUAUUUUU